GAUGAACGCUGGCGGCGUGCCUAAUACAUGCAAGUCGAGCGAACAGACGAGGAGCUUACUCCUCUGACGUUAGCGGCGGACGGGUGAGUAACACGUGGAUAACCUACCUAUAAGACUGGGAUAACUUCGGGAAACCGGAGCUAAUACCGGAUAACAUGUUGAACCGCAUGGUUCAACAGUGAAAGACGGUCUUGCUGUCACUUAUAGAUGGAUCCGCGUCGCAUUAGCUAGUUGGUAAGGUAACGGCUUACCAAGGCAACGAAGCGUAGCCGACCUGAGAGGGUGAUCGGCCACACUGGAACUGAGACACGGUCCAGACUCCUACGGGAGGCAGCAGUAGGGAAUCUUCCGCAAUGGGCGAAAGCCUGACGGAGCAACGCCGCGUGAGUGAAGAAGGUCUUCGGAUCGUAAAACUCUGUUAUUAGGGAAGAACAAAUGUGUAAGUAACUAUGCACGUCUUGACGGUACCUAAUCAGAAAGCCACGGCUAACUACGUG
RNAcentral lists this ribosomal RNA (497 nucleotides) under uncultured bacterium. RNAcentral's name for it is "partial 16S ribosomal RNA". It matches the Rfam family "Bacterial small subunit ribosomal RNA", at positions 28 to 507 of the family's 1533-position model. The record is from RNAcentral.